UUCAGUCAUUUGAACUGAAAACAUCGUUACUUGCAAUCAACACGUGUUAUAGAGCACUGGAAAUAUUGCAAUCGACCUUCAUCAGUAAGAAAACAUGGUGCAUUGUACUGCCUAUAGUACACGUACAGGUAUUAUGGAAGUAUCCUCGUUUCGUAGUUCAGAGUAGAAUACCGGGAAUACUGCCUCCAUGUUUGUCACUGUUCAAUGGAAAACUUCGAUUUUGUGGAAAUAACUUGAUAUAUUUGGAAACAUGCCUCACAUACAGUUGCAGUUAAAUAACAUGGAGAACAAUUUUCGAUAUUCCGUGGAUCAAGUUUGAGGUCCUCAAUAAGCGAUCGGUCUUGAGCAACGACAGACGACUGGUUGAAGCGGCAUGACUCCCCAUGUGUGGUCCUUCUUCUCCACUAUAGAGCAUUCAAAGGGAGAAGGAAGUGGACGAUGUCCUCUAACCGGAUUCUGUAUGACUGACUACUGAACAGGGAGAAGGAAGUGGACGAUGUCCUCUAACCGGAUUCUGUAUGAUUGACUACUGAACAGGGAGAAGGAAGUGGCCAAUGUCCUCUAACCUUCUACCAAUGGUGUGUAGAAAGAUUUGGAGAACUAACAGAUUUUGCAGCUAUUGAGCCCGAGGGUCUAAAAUGAUGAAUUGGGAAAUUUUUUAUGCAGAAGCAACUCCACAAUCAAGCAGAAAAAAGGAAAGAAAAGAAAAGGCCAAUCCAAUGUCAACAGAACAAGCUUCUCAGUACAAUAAAUUCAUACAAAUCAAUUUGCUCUGGCAUCAACAGACACCUGCAGGAUUUGGGGAGGGAAAUAGAUAUUGUUCGGGGAAGAGAAUUCA
Ostrea edulis (European flat oyster) is the source of this 838-nucleotide long non-coding RNA. RefSeq lists it as uncharacterized. NCBI's taxonomy places the organism in Eukaryota, Metazoa, Mollusca, Bivalvia, Ostreida, Ostreidae. The record is from RefSeq and is a predicted model, not a curated record. The transcript is spliced from 4 exons.